UAUAAAUACCGCCGCGCUCCUGAAUUCGGUCUCUUAUUUUACAAUGGGGCGGUGGAAGCGUGUUAUCACAACAAAGGAAAAUGACAGCGAGAGCUGGCCAUUAGAAGGUGGCUGAAUAGGAUUGUAUUUACUUCAGUUUAUGAAUCCACGACUUCUGUAACUGCAGUUCCAAUGAAUCUCAGGGACUCUGUGGUCACCAUAUCUCUGUGGAACAAGGUGUUGAAGGGUCCAGUGAUGUCGUCCUGUGAAGCAAAGGUGUUUGAGGAGCUUUCAAAUGGCAACGGGUCCUGUGGAGUGUUACAAUACGUUUUCAUAAUGCAGGAAUCAACCAACAUCACACAUUGAAAUGAGCUGUGGAAGCUUUUUCUGUAUACAAUAGUAUAAUGUAUAUGCAUUUUGUAUUAAACCUUUACAACCAAAGACCGUACUCUUGCAAGGGGAACAAUGUGAACUGAAUUAUGGAACCAUAGAUUCGUCUUAAGUUAAAUCCCACUUCUUGUACAUGAGUCAAGUCAUUCAUUCAAGUGCAAGUUUCCCUCAAGUUUGAAAUGAGUACUCUCUAUGAAACUGAAAUGUAGUAUGACUGUAUGUAUCCAUGUGACCGACCUAAACAAUGUAAUGCCAUUCUAAAAUGUGCAAGUAAAAAUGUAACUUUCACUUGGUUUUUUUAUUUCUGUGAGUGGACCAAUCUAAAACAAUUGUAUUUUGAUUAAUGUUUUUUUUGGGCCCAUUUUUGUGUCUGUAGCCUGAGUUGUCAUCAACUUAAAUUUGUGUAUGAUUCAGUGGUGCCUCACUGAAAGCAAUGAAUGGAAGACCAAUGCAAAUUUUGCUUCUCCAUUUGAUCAUACAACAACAGAAUGUCACUUUCUUUCUCCCAACUUAACAAAUGAAGAAAAAAAAAAUUUAGUAGUUUACAACAGUCAGAAGAAAGUAAACUGAGAAUCACUAAUCGUGAUCAUGAGGUUACCCCAAGUGACUUUACCCUUCUUAGCAACCAGGCCAAUUGGGUUGCUUAGGAGACCUGGCUGGAGGUAGUUGGUGGUAGUUAGCAUUGAUACUCUCUGAGCUACCAAGGCCUCCUAUUUGCAUAUAUUUAAUGUAUGAAGAGUGCUGAAAAGACAUUAAAUCGCUUAUUCACUCUUCUGAUAAAGUUGUCUACUAGAUGUUGGUACUCUCCAAAUAUUCAGAUGGCAGAGAAGAAACUUUGUACGUUUGGUCUCCAAAUUUUAAUAUUUGGAAACAUUUAUCCAAUUUAACCCAAAGGUGUUCAGUGGUGUUCAGGUCUGGGCUUUGUGCAGGCUAGUAAAGUUCUUUCACUCCAGGCUCCGUAAAUAAUUUCUUGAUGGACCUCGCUUUAUGGACAGUCAUUGUCAUACAGGAGCAUGGCCCCAUUCUCUUGAAAAUGUCUUUUUAGACUGCAAGCAAAUAUGCUACAUUUUAUGCCACUGUUAUGUGAUGGGUGUAGCUCAAAUAGACAAAUCUUAAGAGAAUGUCCCUUAAGUAGUGUGUAAUAAUGAACAAUCACAUUUGAUUUAAUUUUAAAUAUCAAAGCAGUUAUUUAUCACUAAAUGUAGGCUAAUUAAUUUCGUUUUAAAUUUCAAGACAUUUUUUA
This is a long non-coding RNA of Xyrauchen texanus (razorback sucker), 1612 nucleotides long. RefSeq lists it as uncharacterized. NCBI's taxonomy places the organism in Eukaryota, Metazoa, Chordata, Actinopteri, Cypriniformes, Catostomidae. The record is from RefSeq and is a predicted model, not a curated record. The transcript has 5 exons.